GAUGGUAUAGCUCAAUUGUUAGAGCACAUGCUUAGCAUGCAGAAGGUCCUGGGUUCAAUUCCCAGCACCUCCA
RNAcentral lists this transfer RNA (73 nucleotides) under Camelus bactrianus (Bactrian camel). It matches the Rfam family "tRNA". From Rfam's summary of the family: Transfer RNA (tRNA) molecules are approximately 80 nucleotides in length. Their secondary structure includes four short double-helical elements and three loops (D, anti-codon, and T loops). Lineage: Eukaryota; Metazoa; Chordata; Mammalia; Artiodactyla; Camelidae. The record is from Rfam by way of RNAcentral. RNAcentral also lists the same sequence under 2 other names.